This 253-nucleotide ribosomal RNA is filed under the name uncultured bacterium. Its description in RNAcentral is "partial 16S ribosomal RNA". It matches the Rfam family "Bacterial small subunit ribosomal RNA", at positions 524 to 776 of the family's 1533-position model. The record is from RNAcentral.
GACAGAGGUUGCAAACGUUGUUCGGAAUCACUGGGCAUAAAGCGCACGUAGGCGGUCUGUUAAGUCAGGUGUGAAAGCCCCCGGCUCAACCGGGGAAUUGCAUUUGAUACUGGCAGGCUCGAGAACGGUAGGGGUGAGUGGAACUCCAGGUGGAGCGGUGAAAUGCGUAGAUAUCGAGAGGAACACCUGCGGCGAAGGCGGGUUGCUGGGCUGAUACUGACGCUGAGGCGCGAAAGCCAGGGGAGCGAACGGG